GAUGAACGCUGGCGGCGUGCCUAAUACAUGCAAGUCGAACGCUGGAAAUCUAGCUUGCUAGAUUGAAGGAGUGGCGAACGGGUGAGUAAUACAUAAGCAACCUACCCACGAAGACUGGGAUAAUCUCUGGAAACGGGGACUAAUACCGGAUAGGUAAUCGGAAGGCAUCUUCUGAUUAUUAAAGGUUAAAAACACUGGUGGAUGGGCUUAUGGCGCAUUAGUUAGUUGGUGAGGUAACGGCCCACCAAGACGAUGAUGCGUAGCCGGCCUGAGAGGGUGAACGGCCACAUUGGGACUGAGACACGGCCCAGACUCCUACGGGAGGAAGCAGUAGGGAAUUUUCGGCAAUGGGGGAAACCCUGACCGAGCAACGCCGCGUGAGUGAUGACGGCCUUCGGGUUGUAAAGCUCUGUUGUAAGGGAAGAACGGUAGAUAGAGAAUAUCUAAAUGACGGUACCUUACCAGAAAGCCACGGCUAACUACGUG
Molecule: ribosomal RNA, 486 nt
Filed under: uncultured bacterium
Lineage: Bacteria
Description: partial 16S ribosomal RNA
Rfam family: Bacterial small subunit ribosomal RNA
Source: RNAcentral